This is a long non-coding RNA of Lutra lutra (Eurasian river otter), 156 nucleotides long. RefSeq lists it as uncharacterized. The transcript is spliced from 2 exons. Lineage: Eukaryota; Metazoa; Chordata; Mammalia; Carnivora; Mustelidae. The record is from RefSeq and is a predicted model, not a curated record.
CAUGUCUACCACAUUGCAAUAGGCCCUCACACUGGCAUUGUGAGUACAACACUGAUAUGGAGAGUCAACCAUAUUGCGGAGUACAGGUCUUCUUUGCCCCAAACUGCUUCCUCUUCUCCUUUUCUCGAAUCGUGCACUAGAGGAUUUCUUGACAAC